RNAcentral lists this ribosomal RNA (431 nucleotides) under uncultured bacterium. Its description in RNAcentral is "partial 16S ribosomal RNA". It matches the Rfam family "Bacterial small subunit ribosomal RNA", at positions 29 to 507 of the family's 1533-position model. The record is from RNAcentral.
AACGAACGCUGGCGGCAGGCCUAACACAUGCAAGUCGAGCGCCCUUUCGGGGGAGCGGCGGACGGGUGAGUAACGCGUGGGAAUAUGCCCUUCUCUACGGAAUAGCCUCGGGAAACUGAGAGUAAUACCGUAUACGCCCUGUGGGGGAAAGAUUUAUCGGGGAAGGAUUAGCCCGCGUUGGAUUAGGUAGUUGGUGGGGUAAUGGCCUACCAAGCCGACGAUCCAUAGCUGGUUUGAGAGGAUGAUCAGCCACACUGGGACUGAGACACGGCCCAGACUCCUACGGGAGGCAGCAGUGGGGAAUCUUAGACAAUGGGGGCAACCCUGAUCUAGCCAUGCCGCGUGAGUGAUGAAGGCCUUAGGGUUGUAAAGCUCUUUCAGCUGGGAAGAUAAUGACGGUACCAGCAGAAGAAGCCACGGCUAACUCCGUG